CCACGGGAGGCUGCAGUGGGGAAUAUUGGACAAUGGGCGAAAGCCUGAUCCAGCCAUGCCGCGUGUGUGAAGAAGGCCUUCGGGUUGUAAAGCACUUUCAGUGGGGAAGAAAGCCUUGGGGCUAAUACCCUCGAGGAAGGACAUCACCCACAGAAGAAGCACCGGCUAACUCCGUGCCAGCAGCCGCGGUAAUACGGAGGGUGCGAGCGUUAAUCGGAAUUACUGGGCGUAAAGCGCGCGUAGGCGGUCUGAUAAGCCGGUUGUGAAAGCCCCGGGCUCAACCUGGGAACGGCAUCCGGAACUGUCAGGCUAGAGUGCAGGAGAGGAAGGUAGAAUUCCCGGUGUAGCGGUGAAAUGCGUAGAGAUCGGGAGGAAUACCAGUGGCGAAGGCGGCCUUCUGGACUGACACUGACGCUGAGGUGCGAAAGCGUGGGUAGCAAACAGGAUUAGAUACCCCAGUAGUC
RNAcentral lists this ribosomal RNA (464 nucleotides) under Vreelandella stevensii. Its description in RNAcentral is "partial 16S ribosomal RNA". It matches the Rfam family "Bacterial small subunit ribosomal RNA", at positions 339 to 795 of the family's 1533-position model. Lineage: Bacteria; Pseudomonadati; Pseudomonadota; Gammaproteobacteria; Oceanospirillales; Halomonadaceae. The record is from RNAcentral.